GGUUCUGGUGGUCAUUCCCCAUUGUCUCCAGGGCCCUCUGAUUGGCUGGCCCUAGGGAGGUCCACCCUGGUGGUCCAAGGACCCACAGGCUCACCGGCUGCUCUGGGGGUCCACAGAGCUGGCCAGCCCUCUCCCUGAUGGCCAUGGGACUCCAGGCUGCAAGUGGGACCACAGUUACCGGAGCACCCUGUGGUCUAAGGAGAAGAGGACAAGUGCUCCAGGCUGAACAAAAAAGACACGGUCAGCCAGCACGAGCUCCUCCUCCACACCCACAGGUGACAAACCCAGACGACCAGGCACCGGAAGACGACAAAGGGUCAAGAAUCCAGCAACCACGACAAGGCUGGGCGAGCUGUGAAAUUAUUUAGGAAUUAAAGUGAGCAACAGUGGAGACCCCCCCACCUGUGAGGAACGGAAGUUGAAACUUACGAACUUUGAUAACCUAAGAAAAAAUAUUAAAUUAAUAUAGUGGUGAAACUUGA
Molecule: long non-coding RNA, 482 nt
Organism: Equus caballus (horse)
Lineage: Eukaryota; Metazoa; Chordata; Mammalia; Perissodactyla; Equidae
Source: RefSeq, a predicted model, not a curated record